Long non-coding RNA from Nerophis ophidion (straightnose pipefish), 994 nucleotides. RefSeq lists it as uncharacterized. The transcript has 6 exons. NCBI's taxonomy places the organism in Eukaryota, Metazoa, Chordata, Actinopteri, Syngnathiformes, Syngnathidae. The record is from RefSeq and is a predicted model, not a curated record.
UGGAAACGGGGUUUGUACUUAAUUUAAUAAUUAUUUACAUUUAUGAAAGAGUAAUUCUGUUUGUAAUUGAAUUUUUAGUCAAGUAACGACUAUUAUUAUUCCUUUUUAAAACAGAUAUUCCAAACAUUGUUAAUUGAUAAACUGUUUUAUCAGGAUAUGGUGUAUUUGCUCUUGCAUCAAUUUAAAAAGGUUCUUUUGUGGUCGAGUACCGAGGGAAGUUCAUCUCAAGACAUGAGCGGGACAAGAGACAGAAACCCUCUAUAAUUAUCUUUACUAUUUAUCUGGCAUUAUAUGCUCAUAAUGUUAACAACAAAAAGUGCUGAUAAUGUUAUAAUUAAUAAGUUCUAACAUUAUUUUUAUGUGUUUUGUUGCAGACACCAACUGUUGAUGUUCUAUCUCAACAUUCUCCAGAUUCAUGUGAGCGAUAAACCGACUUCAUCCCUCCAACAGACACCAACUGUUGGGGUUCUAUCUCAACAUUCUCCAGAUUCAGAUGUGAGCGAUAAACCGACUUCAUCCCUCCAACAGAAACCAACUGUUGAGGUUCCAUCUCAACAUUCUCCAGAUUCAGAUGUGAGCCAUUAACUGACUUCAUCCCUCCAACAGAAACCAACUGUUGAGGUUCUAUCUCAACAUUCUCUAGAUUCAGAUGACAGCCAUAAACCGACUUCAUCCCUCCAACAGAUUGACAGCAGGACAAAUCGCUGGAAGUGGGUAUGUCUCAAGCUUCUUCCACUUGGUCCACUCCAAAGCGGGCUGCAAAGGGGAAGAAGUGGAAGCAGUUGAAUGACACAUGUUGCAUUUUGUAACUGCCAACAAAGUACCAGGUAAAAAAGAUUGUGAAGCCUGCAUCCAUAAAGAACUAGUAGCUCUACAGGACAGAGAUUGGCUUGCCAUCAAGUACUACAUCCAUAACAGAAUUAUAUUAAAAAAAGGGAAAAAAAAUGUUUUCCCACAUCUUCUGUGGUAGUUUGAAUAUGUUACCAGCAAUUAA